UUAGGCUCAGAUUGAACGCUGGCGGCGUGCUUAACACAUGCAAGUCGAACGCGAAAGGGACUUCGGUCCUGAGUAAAGUGGCGCACGGGUGAGUAACGCGUGGAUAAUCUGCCCUUAUGAUCGGGAUAACAGUUGGAAACGGCUGCUAAUACCGGAUACGCUCAAAAUGAACUUUUUGUAGGAAAGAUGGCCUCUGCUUGCAUGCUAUCACGUAAGGAUGAGUCCGCGUCCCAUUAGCUUGUUGGCGGGGUAACGGCCCACCAAGGCAACGAUGGGUAGCCGAUUUGAGAGGAUGAUCGGCCACACUGGAACUGAAACACGGUCCAGACUCCUACGGGAGGCAGCAGUGGGGAAUAUUGCGCAAUGGGCGAAAGCCUGACGCAGCGACGCCGCGUGAGGGAUGAAGGUUUUCGGUAUCGUAAACCUCUGUCAGAAGGGAAGAAACUACGUUGUGCUAAUCAGCAGCGUACUGACGGUACCUUCAAAGGAAGCACCGGCUAACUCCGUGCCAGCCGCUGC
This 519-nucleotide ribosomal RNA is filed under the name uncultured bacterium. Its description in RNAcentral is "bacterial SSU rRNA". It matches the Rfam family "Bacterial small subunit ribosomal RNA", at positions 18 to 518 of the family's 1533-position model. The record is from RNAcentral.